This 492-nucleotide ribosomal RNA is filed under the name uncultured bacterium. Its description in RNAcentral is "partial 16S ribosomal RNA". It matches the Rfam family "Bacterial small subunit ribosomal RNA", at positions 29 to 507 of the family's 1533-position model. The record is from RNAcentral.
AGUGAACGCUGGCGGUAGGCCUAACACAUGCAAGUCGAACGGCAGCACAGUAAGAGCUUGCUCUUACGGGUGGCGAGUGGCGGACGGGUGAGGAAUACAUCGGAAUCUACUUUUUCGUGGGGGAUAACGUAGGGAAACUUACGCUAAUACCGCAUACGACCUACGGGUGAAAGCAGGGGAUCUUCGGACCUUGCGCGAUUGAAUGAGCCGAUUUCGGAUUAGCUAGUUGGCGGGGUAAAGGCCCACCAAGGCGACGAUCCGUAGCUGGUCUGAGAGGAUGAGCAGCGACACUGGAAAUGAAACAAGGUCCAGAAUCCUACGGGAGGCAGCAGUGGGGAAUAUUGGACAAUGGGCGCAAGGCUGAUCCAGGCAUACCGCGUGGGUGAAGAAGGCCUUCGGGUUGUAAAGCCCUGUUGUUGGGAAAGAAAAGCAGCAGGUUAAUACCCCGCUGUGCUGACGGUACCCAAAGAAUAAGCACCGGCUAACUUCGUG